Apus apus (common swift) is the source of this 111-nucleotide long non-coding RNA. RefSeq lists it as uncharacterized. The record is from RefSeq and is a predicted model, not a curated record. Lineage: Eukaryota; Metazoa; Chordata; Aves; Apodiformes; Apodidae. The transcript is spliced from 2 exons.
UGGAGGUGAUAAUGGAGGGACAGCUUCCUAACUGCAAAGGUCUCAUCAAGUCUUUUUUCAAAAUGCAGAUCUCUUCAGGUAUCCUGGCUUUUCAGUAUGGGGUAAAUACAG